GACGAACGCUGGCGGCGUGCUUAACACAUGCAAGUCGAACGGAAAGGCCCUGCUUUUGUGGGGUGCUCGAGUGGCGAACGGGUGAGUAACACGUGAGUAACCUGCCCUUGACUUUGGGAUAACUUCAGGAAACUGGGGCUAAUACCGGAUAGGAGCUCCUGCUGCAUGGUGGGGGUUGGAAAGUUUCGGCGGUUGGGGAUGGACUCGCGGCUUAUCAGCUUGUUGGUGGGGUAGUGGCUUACCAAGGCUUUGACGGGUAGCCGGCCUGAGAGGGUGACCGGCCACAUUGGGACUGAGAUACGGCCCAGACUCCUACGGGAGGCAGCAGUGGGGAAUAUUGCACAAUGGGCGGAAGCCUGAUGCAGCAACGCCGCGUGCGGGAUGACGGCCUUCGAGUUGUAAACCGCUUUCGCCUGUGACGAAGCGUGAGUGACGGUAAUGGGCAAAGAAGCACCGGCUAACUACGUG
RNAcentral lists this ribosomal RNA (468 nucleotides) under uncultured bacterium. RNAcentral describes it as "partial 16S ribosomal RNA". It matches the Rfam family "Bacterial small subunit ribosomal RNA", at positions 28 to 507 of the family's 1533-position model. The record is from RNAcentral.